RNAcentral lists this ribosomal RNA (702 nucleotides) under uncultured bacterium. RNAcentral's name for it is "bacterial SSU rRNA". It matches the Rfam family "Bacterial small subunit ribosomal RNA", at positions 98 to 779 of the family's 1533-position model. The record is from RNAcentral.
GCGCACGGGUGAGUAACGCGUAAGUGAUCUACCCCUGUAUUUGGGAUAACUAUGGGAAACUGUAGCUAAUACCGGAUACGUUCAUGUUCUUGCGAGUAUAUGAAGAAAGAUGGCCUCUGAUUCAAGCUAUUGUACAGGGAGGAGCUUGCGUACCAUUAGCUAGUUGGUAGGGUAAUGGCCUACCAAGGCAACGAUGGUUAGCGGGUCUGAGAGGAUGAUCCGCCACACUGGAACUGAAACACGGACCAGACUCCUACGGGAGGCAGCAGUGAGGAAUAUUGCGCAAUGGGGGCAACCCUGACGCAGCGACGCCGCGUGGAUGAUGAAGGCCUUCGGGUCGUAAAAUCCUGUCAGAUGGGAAGAAGUGCAUGGUGGUUAAUACCCAUCAUGUUUGACGGUACCAUCAGAGGAAGCACCGGCUAACUCCGUGCCAGCAGCCGCGGUAAUACGGAGGGUGCAAGCGUUGUUCGGAAUUACUGGGCGUAAAGCGCGCGUAGGCGGUUUGUUAAGUCAGAUGUGAAAGCCCAGGGCUUAACCUUGGACGUGCAUUUGAAACUGGCAGACUUGAGUAUUGGAGGGGGUGGUGGAAUUCCCGGUGUAGAGGUGAAAUUCGUAGAUAUCGGGAGGAAUACCGGUGGCGAAGGCGACCACCUGGCCAAAUACUGACGCUGAGGUGCGAAAGCGUGGGGAGCAAACAGGAUU